Molecule: ribosomal RNA, 253 nt
Filed under: uncultured bacterium
Lineage: Bacteria
Description: partial 16S ribosomal RNA
Rfam family: Bacterial small subunit ribosomal RNA
Source: RNAcentral
UACGGGGGGAGCAAACGUUGUUCGGAAUCACUGGGCGUAAAGGGCGUGUAGGCGGCUGAAUAAGUGGGAUGUUAAAUCCCCCGGCUCAACCGGGGACCUGCAUCUCAUACUGUUCAGCUCGAGCACAUCAGAGGAGACUGGAAUUCCCGGUGUAGCGGUGAAAUGCGUAGAUAUCAGUCGGAACACCGGUGGCGAAGGCGGCUUCUUGGGCCAUUCCUGACGCUGAGGCGCGAAAGCUAGGGGAGCGAACGGG